AUCGCUUACGCCAGCACAGCGCGCCGGGAUCAAAACGAUCACUGAAGUCACCUCGAUCUGAGAGGCGGUGUUAGUUCGCUAUCAAGAGGCAUGAGGAGCAAAAAACAUGUUGCUGGGCAAAACUUGUUUGUGUGCCCAGGGUGAAAAGUCAGCCCAGGCUGUGUUUACUGUCUGUCAGGUCUGGUAUUUUAGAGCAGCUCAUGCAACAGGUGCAACUUAAGAUACAGUGAGAGUGAGCUAUUCUGAGUGAUAGCUCAAGUCACCAUUCAAACACCCCUAAGGCCACUCAGUCUGUCUGAAGGAGAGCGAGUUACUUGACUGCUCAAGUGCACAGCAGACGCUUGGUGCUCAAUUGCUGACAAAUGAGAAUGUGCUUAUUCCAAAACGCCUCCUUGCAACACAACAAAGAAAUAUAAUGAAAAUAAGUCGACGUAUUAGCUGCCCUUGUAAGGCACAAAACCUUUGGCCAGUAUUGCUGAAGUGUGCAUGAGAUUUGAUGCAUCAAAGAAACCAUAACCAUGUCUUCAAAAUAGGUGCACUAGCAGUGCAUUCUAGAGAGAGGAGAAAAAAUACUAUUCACAAUAUUUCCUCUUCCAUUUGUGUGUGCUUCACAGGAAGAUGAAUGCAUUUUGCAUUGACCACAGGGCAGAAUCACAUCUGUAACAGCCUGCAUCACACAUGCAUUAGUUCAUCAGUUGGUUCCAUUGACAAUUUUAACUUGCGUGAUGUUUUAAUUCCUGCUACUCUAAUAUUUUAUCAGCUAGACUUUGUACAGGGAUGCUUCACCAGCCAAGAUGAGUAUUUUCCAAUAAUAUUUCUAAUGCUCCUUUCAGACACAGUUUACAAUUUGAGCAGUUUGUACCUUCUAAGUAUGGCAAUGAUGAUUUUUUUUUUUUUUGCAUUCAUCCUAAACAUCAUAUGACCUUCAUGGAUACUAAACUGCACCUACAGCUACACUGGAAGUCUAACUUUUUCAACAGAGCAGAUUGUGUGAGUUUGGCAGCAAAUAUUAACUCAUUAAUCCAGCAGCCUGAAGCAAAUAAUAUAACUGGUUGUGUAGGUAUCUUAAAAUAAACCUGGAAGUCAUGGUGCUCCAGGAGUAAAGGCACAGCAGGACCUGAACCAUCCGCAGAAACCAAAUCAGAAAAACCAAACGAAGCCAAAUAAAUAUUUUUUUUGCUUCCCACAAACGUUACCAGUCAAAAAGAAAAAAAAAAGCCUUGUCGGCUGUGAUAAUAACUUGCAGCCUUUUACGCACAGCGGAGUGAGUCAGAUUCGCCGCGCAGCCGAGGGGAGAUAUUGGGGACAGACUGCGCAGCGGAUAAAACAGAUGAAAAGCUUUCUGUGGGAUGUGUAUAAUCCUGUCCUCACGACAGCCGUCAGACCACCUCGUAGAUUAUAACUCGGCGGAUCAUCGUCGUUCUACGCUAUUUGAAUUAAUUGAAGAGCAGCGGUGGCGACAAAUAUUCCGUAAAUAUUUCACUCUUGCGCUGAAUUUCCUGAGAAGUCAAACAGCAGCAGAAAGCGGAGAGAUCUCUUUUUUGUGUGUCGCCUGUUGCGCUGUGCACGCACAAGACGCAGACUUGCAGUUGACAAGCACAUGGUGCCUUGUUAUGAGCAAUAAACGGAGGAAAAAACCUGAAGGCCCUGAAGCAAUCAGAUGUGGAUGAAAGCGGGAAGAGCUACCGAAAUUCGCAUCCCGACCGGACAUUUACCAUCUUUCCCCUCAAAAAUCGCCACAGGCACAAACAAUUUGGCCAGCAAGUGAAAUCACGGACAGACAGACUGGCGAUCACAGCAGCAUUACGGAGUCUACCUGACAUGCUGUUGAAACGGUGAUGGAGGGAGGAGGCGAUAGGCCAGUGCGCCCCCCCUCCUCCACUUCGCUGCAUGUUACAGAGCAGGUGAGAAACAUUAACAGAGGCAGCGACUGCGGCCUCUGCUCCACACAUGUGGGCCAGGAUAUGAGCUAGCUCCAGCUCGCCUACUCUCAACACUGGUCAGUAAUGUUAACACUCUCCUCUCAGAACCACAGAAUACGGCCCAGAGGAACUGGAAACAGCACAGAUUAUUGUGCAGAUCUUUUUCUUUUUGUCACUUAUCGUACAUUUUUAUAAACAUAAGCUACAGAGCAGUUCUUUACCUAUGUGAUAGGUACAGGUUGCAAACAACUAGUAGUUUUCCUUUCAGACUUUCAUGUGAAUCAUUACAGAGCUCUGAAAUGGCAAAACUUAAUUCUUUGUUCAUGUUAAUCUUCCUGCCAGCAGUCUGACAUUGAUAUACUAAAUUCUAAAACACACAUAGAAAGUAUUUAUUGAACAUUACACUUGAUGUUGAUAGUUUAGAGGUGAAACUACUUUCAUUAAAUUUCUCAUUGUUAAUGUACCAUUUUAGUUACUUAUUGGGUGCAUUUGAAUAUGUAAAUAUCUUGGCUAUACAAUUUGUUUGGGACAUGUGCACCUUGUUGGGUCAUUUGAAUUCCCUCUCAGCUCCAGCCAUGAACUCAGAGACCCAGUUGUCACAUUGUGUUCUGAACACACAGACUCCAGUCAAAGCAGUUGAGGUGUCCCACAGGAGAAUGGCCUGUAUAUUUGUGUUUCUGUGAAUCAUAACCGCUGUUUUGCAUUCAGUGAGGUGUGUCAAAGCGGAUUACCUGCAUGAACGGGGACCUGAAAGGACUUUGUUUUUUAAGGACUGUCCUUUGGGGUGAGGUAGUAGGUUGUAUAGUUUUAGGGUCAUACCCUUCCUGUCAGAUAACUAUACAACUUACUGUCUUUCCUGAAGUGGCUGUAAUGUCGUCAGAUGCCAUUGUUGGAGCUUUUGGAUCCAGAUCAACACUGGAAUGUGCCUGUUUGCUCACUGACUGCUAAGGACAUAACUCGGUUGCAGCAUUUGAUAGCAGUAAGUCAUUUAGGAUUGUAUCUGCUUGAAGAAUUUUUCCAUCUUGUGAUUUUCACAGUUGUACUUUAUGAUCAAUAAAAACUUUUUUUUUUCUGAAUCUCUUUGUACUACACAAACAACAGCAAAACUAUUUUCUUAAUAUCUCCUGUGACGCUGUAUGCUGUGUAAACACUGUCAGCUUUUAUUUACUUUUGCUCGUAUUUAACUGUCUCGUGUAUGAUUAUGACAAGAUUGUGUUUUAAAAAUUAAAACUUGACUUGCAGGCUUAGUCGUUGCUGCUUCUCUGUGAUUUGAAGUGUAUCUGUUGUUGAAUGAGUAUGUGUUUAUGUUGCUAUGAGCAAAUGCACCGUGUUUGUCUGUUCACACCAAAGACUGCCAACCUGUAGGACCUUUCUGAUGUUCGUACGGGGUGAGGUAGUAGGUUGUGUGGUUUCAGGGUAGUGAUUUUGCCCAAUCAGGAGAUAACUAUACAACCUACUGCCUUCCCUGAAGGGCAGCAAUACUACACCAUACAGACAUCAGGAGACAUCAGAAAGACUCCCAAAAUCAAAAGACCAAACCAGGUCAACUGUCUGGCCUAGAGCCACUUCUUACCUGGGAAACAAGCGUCCGCAGUCAAUCGUAGCAAAGAGAACCAGCAGGUAAAGUCUUUUCACUCUGGAAUUUUUCUUUGAUUUGGAUGUUCUACUUCAAACAAUAAUAAAUUUAAAAAAAGAAAAAUAAGA
Molecule: long non-coding RNA, 3626 nt
Organism: Stegastes partitus (bicolor damselfish)
Lineage: Eukaryota; Metazoa; Chordata; Actinopteri; Pomacentridae
Exons: 5
Source: RefSeq, a predicted model, not a curated record